Ceratosolen solmsi marchali is the source of this 1991-nucleotide RNA transcript. It is a transcript of the gene named E3 ubiquitin-protein ligase Sce, with no coding region annotated. The record is from RefSeq and is a predicted model, not a curated record. NCBI's taxonomy places the organism in Eukaryota, Metazoa, Arthropoda, Insecta, Hymenoptera, Agaonidae. The transcript is spliced from 5 exons.
AAAAAGUUUACGAAGCGCCUCUGCCACACUUACCGACUGGAAAAGCCGCAAGCAAAAGUGCUAUACGAAAUAUCGAGGCCCAUUCUCUGAAACAUUCCAAAUAACGUAUGAUGUUGCGAGGUCUCGUGAAAGGCGUUGGUCGUCAACGGACCGAUGAAGAAACUUAAUGUCGAACCGCGCGGUCGACAUCGAGGUGCAGCGUCAUAGUCAUCAUCGACGACAUCGUCGUCGUCGUCAUUGUCGUCGCCACUCCGUGAAUCUCUCGACUCCCGCUAGACAAAAAUUGGCCGCUAUUUGGGGCGCAUGCGCGGACGGCGUUAACGCGGUCGACGCCGUUCGCGGCUGCUCGUCGUCGUGAGAGCAGCGAUACUCCGCGGAUAGUCCGGGAGCGGCUGCGUCGGCGAGGUUCGUCGGACGUGCUGGUCAACAUGGCGUCGACCGAGCAGGUCGGCCUCAACAAGACCUGGGAGUUAUCACUCUACGAGCUCCACCGCACGCCCCAGGAUGCUAUAACGGACAACACGGAGAUCGCCGUCAGCCCUAGGAGUCUGCACAGUGAGCUUAUGUGCCCGAUAUGCCUGGAUAUGCUGAAGAAGACGAUGACGACGAAGGAGUGCCUUCACCGUUUUUGCUCGGACUGCAUCAUCACGGCCCUCAGGAGCGGAAACAAGGAAUGUCCUACGUGCAGAAAGAAACUUGUUUCAAAACGUUCUUUGCGGCCAGAUCCAAAUUUUGACUUAUUAAUUUCUAAAAUUUAUCCAAGUCGAGAUGAAUACGAAGCUCAUCAAGAACGUGUUUUAGCAAAAUUAAACAAUUCACAUUCUCAAGCAGCUCUUGUAAAUUCUAUUACCGAAGGAAUUAAGUUACAAAGUCAAAAUAGGCCUCAGCGUUCAAGAAAAAAUGCCAAUGAGCUUGAAAAUGCCAACAGUACUGCAUCGUAUAAUAACACGCCAAAUGUCAGCGCACCCACGACACCAAAUCCAGCUAUCACAGCAGCUAAUCAAAGUGAUUCAUCCCAAAGUGCAAUCGGCCAAUCGAGUAAUGGUGGCAGUAGGGAAAAUCAUUCGACAAAUUCAAACGGUGUGCCUCAGCCUUCGAUCAGUCCUGCAGUCUCUGGUACAACGUCAAGAAACUCAACAACACCUUCGCCAGUGCCAUCGAAUCCCAAGCCUCCAAAACGACAAAAGAGCCUUCAAAAUUCAGAAAAUGAUUCGUCUAGUGCCGAGGUUGAAACCGGCGGUAAUGAUUCCAUGAUAGACACUGAAGGAGAAGGAUCUAGUGAACCUUUGAUGCUGAAUGAAAUAGAAUUAGUAUUUAAACCACAUCCUACAGAGAUGGCUGGCGAUAAUUCUUUAAUUAAAGCUCUUAAGGAAAAUAGUAUUAGAUAUAUUAAAACUACAGCUAAUGCUACAGUGGAUCAUUUAAGUAAAUAUUUGGCAAUGAGACUGACACUGGAUUUGGAUACAGAACUACUUUCCGAGUCUGAUAGGUUACUGAACUUUUGCAUUUAUAUUGCACCAACACCGGGCCAACUUGUGGUUCUAAGUGGUUCACAAACCCUUCGCCAAGUAAAUGAUAAGUUUUGGCGAGUCAAUCGACCAUUAGAGAUGUAUUAUUCAUGGAAAAAAACCUAGGGCAGGGCUUAUAAAUCUCAGGUGGACAAUGGUUAAAUGCAUUCCAUAAAAUCUCCGGAAUGGCAAAAUUACGUGUAUGCGAAAAAUUAAGAUGCAUUACCAAUUGAUUAAGGACAAGUUUGAAGUUUAUAUUUACGUUGACCACAGAUUCCAUUUGUAUUUAUUCUAUCAACAUAUCGACACACGUACAGAAAACAUGCACGCAUAAGUAAAUUUUGAAAUAAAAUUCUUCAAAAAAAAUUGAAACACGAAAGAGGAUGCAACUGUAGUAACAUAAUACCUAAUUAUGCAAGUAUUUAAGAGUGAAAAUAUUAAUAUUAUGAUUAUUAUGUAUUCUAAAAUUACAUGAAUGAUAUU